Molecule: non-coding RNA, 136 nt
Organism: Brachypodium distachyon (stiff brome)
Lineage: Eukaryota; Viridiplantae; Streptophyta; Magnoliopsida; Poales; Poaceae
Source: Rfam
ACCGUACUUCCUCCAUCCAACAAAAGAUGUCUUAACUUUGACUAAAUUUGAAUGCAUCUAUACACUAAGUCAUGUCUAGAUACAUCUAAAUUUUCACAAACUUGAGACAUCUUUUUUUGAACGGAGGGAGUAUGUU